Toxorhynchites rutilus septentrionalis is the source of this 2389-nucleotide RNA transcript. It is a transcript of the gene named calcium uptake protein 3, mitochondrial, with no coding region annotated. The record is from RefSeq and is a predicted model, not a curated record. NCBI's taxonomy places the organism in Eukaryota, Metazoa, Arthropoda, Insecta, Diptera, Culicidae. The transcript has 12 exons.
UUAGUACCUAGAUAAAAAUGGCGAUUUACACAAACAAAUUCGUACGGUGCUCCCGGAUCGGGCCGAAUUUGACCGCGAUGGUGCGAAAUUUCAGUGCCAAUUCCAGCCGAAAGUGGUUCCUCCAUCCGUCGGUGAAAUAUAUCUGCCUCAUUGGGGGCAGUUUGGCCGCCCUCAGCUACGCCAGACAUCGCCGUCAGCCGCGAGUGUAUGCCCUCCAGCUGCGAAAGGACGAUAUCAGCGAGAAGGCCGUAAAACUGACAGCCCGUGAACGGCGCUUCAUCAAGUUUGCCUCGGUUGAGUUCGACGGCCAAAUCUACAUGACACCGCAAGACUUCCUGGAGUCGGUUGUGGAGCAGGAACCAAGACCACGACUCAAGCGGAAAUCGCUGACUCCGGAGGAGAUUCAGAAAUUGAAAGACAACACGCCGCAACUCAAGCAUGGAUCUUCACAACUGUUUCGCAGUUUGCGUGACAGAGGUAUCAUUUCUUACACCGAGUAUCUAUUUCUGUUGUCCGUUCUUACAAAGCCACACUCGGGAUUCAGAAUUGCCUUCAACAUGUUCGAUACGGACGGUAACCAACGGGUGGAUAAGGAUGAAUUUCUUGUGAUUCGUCAGCUACUUGGAGGAUCACUCAAGGAUCGCGAACUAGAUGAAGGAACAAGAAAAGCUUUACUCCAUCUCGUGUCGACCAAUGCCCAAGCUAAAUUCCUGUCCAGACAGUUUCGCAAGGAGCUGUCCGAAACGAGCCCCGCUCAAGACGAACAGCAGACUACAACAACCGGAACUCGCUCGUCGUCGGGUAGAAAAAGUUUUAUGGAGAAAAUAUUCAGCUUCGCAUGGAAAGGAAAACGAGGCAUUGAAACCACUGAGGGCGAGGAAAACGACGAUGGUCAUGAUGAUUACGUGGAUGACGAGCAGGGUCUACAGAGGAAACACAAGGUCGACACUACGCUGCAGAUUCACUUCUUUGGCAAGAAGGGUAACCAAGAUCUGCAGUACGAUGGAUUCUAUAACUUUAUGAAAAAUCUUCAAACCGAGGUCCUUGAGUUGGAAUUUUGUGAGUUUUCCAAGGGUCACGAGCGCAUAUCGGAGGUCGAUUUCGCCAAAAUUCUUCUGAGAUACACUUAUUUGGAUACCGACGAAUACGAUAACUAUCUGGAUCGUCUGCUGGACAGAGAAGCUAAGGAGAAAGGCGUUUCAUUCGAUGAGUUCCGUCAGUUCUGCCAGUUUUUGAACAAUCUGGACGAUUUCUCAAUCGCCAUGAGAAUGUAUACUCUUGCAGAUCAACCAAUUUCGAAAGACGAAUUUUCCCGUGCCGUGAAGAUUUGCACAGGUUCGGAGCUGAAUUCCCACCUGAUCGAUACAGUGUUUGCCAUCUUCGAUGAAGAUGGCGAUGGGUUGCUUUCCUACAAAGAGUUUAUCGCCAUCAUGAAGGAUCGACUGCACCGGGGUUUCAAAGUAAGUCACUACGAACACGUGGCUCAGGAUUAUUUGGAUGAUAUAGAUAAAAGCACACAGCAAGCCAACAGCUUCCGCCAAUUGUUGAAGAUGCGUUCACGCGCCUGCCGACGGCUCAGACGGUAUUUGAUUUAUUUUUACUUUCAUCCGGAUCAUGGAUACCAUCCGGAGCGAGACUUCCGAUAAGAGAGUUAUUAUUUGGCUUCGUAUAGGUUAAGAAAAACAUAAUUCGUAUUCUUUUUGGUUCCCACUCAGCGGUAAGUAAGUGGCUACAUUUUUUAAGAAUGCACCUUCAAAAUUUUACUACACUCAGGUUUAUGUAAGUGGUUUUUGUACUUUCGUACUUUCUUCAGACUAAACACCAACAUAUCAAAAUUUGAUCCAAAUCAGCUUCUUAAUUUGUUGCAGCUAAUCAGUCCAACUAAUUAGUUCAAUGUGGCUUUAUAUGUUUUCUGUUCUUUAUUCCGCGUUUCGUUAUUGUUUCAUCAAUCGAAGUCAAACGUAAAAUCAGAAGGUUGGGAAGCAUUCAAACACUGUCUCAAACAAGAGAUGAAACAAAAUGUUUGAAUUUAUACACCUUGUCCAGUAGUUGUAUCAAACGUAGUUGUUCAUCUUUAUAGUAGUGCGCUUGAAAAUUUUAAAUCUAUCUCUAAGCCAAACUUAUUUUAAAUUUAAUCGAAAUGUAUGUUCUAUCUAGGCAAUGCUCCACAAGAUUGGCAUAAUUAUUUAUCUGCAACGUAUUCUUGAAUCUAGUCGGAUUAUUCGGAUUAUUAUGAACUAUAGUAUUCUCUUCAUGAUACCAAAGCGUUUCUUUCCCAAUUAUACAAUGUUCAUCAUGUUAGAAGUCGCGAAUUUUGCGCACACGUACACAUCUCAACUCGCGUUUUAAAGGAAUGUUUCUAAUAAAGUGUUUAGUCUGAAAAAAAACA